GGAUUCCCCUAGUACUGCGAGUGAAGCGGGAAAAGCUCAAAUUUAAAAUCUGGUGGUCUUAGGCCAUCCGAGUUGUAAUUUAGAGAAGCGUCUUCCGCGCCGGACCGUGCACAAGUCUCCUGGAAUGGAGCGUCAUAGAGGGUGAGAAUCCCGUCUUUGGCACGGAUGCCUGGUGCUUCUGUGAUGCGCUCUCGAAGAGUCGAGUUGUUUGGGAAUGCAGCUCAAAAUGGGUGGUGAACUCCAUCUAAAGCUAAAUAUUGGCGAGAGACCGAUAGCGAACAAGUACCGUGAGGGAAAGAUGAAAAGCACUUUGGAAAGAGAGUGAAACAGUACGUGAAAUUGUUGAAAGGGAAACGCUUGAAGUCAGUCGCGUCGACCGAGACUCAGCCUUGCCUCGGCUUGGUGUACUUCUCGGCCCGACGGGUCAGCGUCAAUUUUGCCCCUCGGAUAAUGGCAAGGGAAAGGUGGCACCUUUACGGGUGUGUUAUAGUCUCCUGUCGCAUGCGAGGGGUGGGAUUGAGGAACUCAGCGCGCACCUUGGUGUCGGGGCUUCGGCCCACGUCACGCGCUUAGGAUGCUGGCGUAAUGGCUUUAAACGACCCGUCUUGAAACACGGACCAAGGAGUCCAACACGCCCGCGAGUGUUCGGGUGGAAAACCCGUGCGCGUAAUGAAAGUGAAAGUUGGGACCUCUGUCGUGGAGGGCACCGACGCCCGGACCAGACCUUCUGUGACGGAUCUGCGGUAGAGCGUGUGUGUUGGGACCCGAAAGAUGGUGAACUAUGCCUGAAUAGGGUGAAGCCAGAGGAAACUCUGGUGGAGGCUCGUAGCGAUUCUGACGU
This 841-nucleotide ribosomal RNA is filed under the name uncultured Lactarius. RNAcentral describes it as "eukaryotic LSU rRNA". It matches the Rfam family "Eukaryotic large subunit ribosomal RNA", at positions 72 to 892 of the family's 3401-position model. The record is from RNAcentral. Lineage: Eukaryota; Fungi; Basidiomycota; Agaricomycetes; Russulales; Russulaceae.